This 398-nucleotide unclassified non-coding RNA is filed under the name Hevea brasiliensis (rubber tree). The record is from RNAcentral. Lineage: Eukaryota; Viridiplantae; Streptophyta; Magnoliopsida; Malpighiales; Euphorbiaceae.
AAGUUCACAUAGCAAAUAGACCCAGAAAUUCUUGAAAAUUUAUAGAGUGUUUAUACCCCAUUUCAGUAGUUCCCAAAUUAAAUUUUAGCUUAAAAUUCAACCGUUUGUGUGGCGAACCAAAAUUUUGCGGCAGACACGAUUAUAUUUGAUUUACAUAGUAAGUCUGUCAAGAAAAGGCUGAAAUUCUUGCAGCAAUUAGUCAGUAUUGGGUUGCAUUUGCCUACUCAAUUUCAGAUCAAAAUACACUCAUUUGCUUGGUGAUCCUAAAUUUAUGCAAUUCUUGGUGUAUUGUGUGAACUGCUGGUAAUUGUGAUAAGUUGGUGGCAAACUUGGAUAUUUAAGCUUAAUAUCUCUACUUUAGGUUGUCUCUUUUUCAGCUUACUACUCUUUUAUUUUGG